UAAAAAAAAAUAAAUUUUACCAAGAUGCAUUAUAUUAUAGGCCAGAAAACUAGUCUUAAAAAAGUUAGAGGGGUUUAAGUAGUGCAAAAAUUGUUUUAUGACCAUAAUGGAAUGAAAUUAAGAACCAAUUAUAGAAAUAAUAAAAAAAAACACUCCCAAUUAUUUGGAAACCAAACAGCAUGACCUCUAAAUAAUCUCUGGGUAAAAAAAAAAAUUACAGUGAAAUUAAAAAUUAUUUUUAAGUUGAUGGAUAAGACAACAUAACAUAUUAGGAUUUAUGGAAUGUCUCUAAAGUAAUACUAAGAAAAAAAACUUACAGCAAUAGAUAUCUGUACUGCAGAAGAAGAAAAGUCUUGCAUAAAAAUGUCAGUUUCCAUCUUAAGAAACUUGAAAAAAACACAGUAAAUUCCAACCAAGCAGAAGAAAAGAAUAGUGAACAGAGUAGAAGUUAGUGGAAUAGAAAAUCAGUAGAGGAAAUCAGUGAAACCAAACCAUGCUUCUUUGAAAGGACUGAGAUACUUAAUAAGCCUCUAGACAGACUGACCAGGAAAAAGAAAAAACAAAAACAGAGAAAAACAAACUAGCAACAUCAGGAAUGAUAGAGUAGAUAUCACCAUAGAUUUUACAAAUAUUGAAAGGGAAAUUAGAGAAUGUUAUGAACAGUCUUAUACCAAUAAAUUUGACAAUGUACAUGAAAUGGAUAUUUCUUCAAAGAUACAAACUAAUAAAGCUCACUCAAGAACAAAUUUAUAUAACCUGUAAAGUCACAUGCCAAUUAAAGCAAAAUUUCUCAAAGUUGGCGCUACUGAUAUUUUGGGCCAGCUAAUUUUUUCCUAUGGGAGCUGUCCUAUACAUUGUAGGAUAAUUAGCAGCAUUCUUGGUCCUGUAUUCACUAGAUGUCUGCAGCACUAACCCUUACCCUAGGUGUGACAACCAAAAGUAUCUAUAGAUAUUGCAAAAUGUUCCUUUCAGGGAGGGAGAGUGUUAAAAUUGCCCUGGUUUGGGCACAUUAUUAUUAUUUGGUGUCAGGUUUCUAUUUAAAUUCUAGUAAUUUAACAUAUAGUGUAAAAUUGGUUUCAGGAGAAGAAUUAAGUGAUUCAUCACUGAAAUAGAACACCUAGUGCUCAUCACAAAUGCCCUCCUUAAUACCCAUCGCCCAUUUAGCCCAACCCCCAAUUCCACAUAUGAGUGAAAUCAUAUGGUUUUUGUCUUUCUCUGACUGACUUAUUUCAUGUAGCAUAACAUUCUGUAGUUCCAUCUAUGUCAUUACAAAUGGCAAGAUUUCAUUCUUUUUGAUAGCUGACAUAUAUUGUGCGGGGGCCAUAUACAUAUACGUUUUGGUAUAUGUAUAUGUGUCACAUUUUCUUUAUCUAUUCAUCAGUCAAUAGACAUUUGGGCUUUUUCCAUAUUUUGGCUAUUGUUGAUAAUGCUGCUACACACAUGGGGUGCAUGUGUCCGUUUGAGUCAGUAUUUUUGUAUCCUUUGAGUAAAUACCUAGUAGUACAAUUGUUGGGUCUUGAGGUAGAUCUAUCUGUAAAUUUUUGAGGAACCUCCAUACUGCUUUGCACAGUGGCUGCACCAGUUUGCAUUCCCACCAACAGGGUAAGAGGGUUCCCCUUUCUCCUCCACAUCCUCACCGACAACUGUUCUUUCCUGUGUUAUUAAUUUUAGCCAUUCUAACAGUUCUGAGGUGGGAUCUCAUCAUGCUUUUGAUUAGUAUUUACUUGAUGAUGAAUGAUGUUGAGCAACUUUUCAUGUCUGUCAGCCACUGGAUGUCUUCUUUGAAAAAUGUCUAUCCAUGUCUUCUGCCACCUCUUUUUUUUAAUAUAUAUUUUUUAUUGAAGUUCGAUUUGCCAACAUAUAGUAUAACACCCAGUGAUCAUCCUGUCAAGUGUCCCCCUCAGCUGAUUAGAAAAAUUAUACUAGAGAAAGGAAAAUUUUAGGUGAAAAUUUUUCCCACAAAGAAAGCUCCAGGUCCACAUGGCUUUACUGGUGAUUUCUACCAAAUAUUCAAGGGAAAAACACAUACCAGUUCUAUUUUUUUAAAAGAUUUUAUUUAUUUAUGAGAGACAGAGAGAGACAUAGAGAGAGGCAGCGACACAGGCAGAGGGAGAAGCAGGCUCCAUGCAGGAAGCCUGAUGUGGGACUCGAUCCCAGGACCCCAGGAUCACGCCCUGGGCUGAAGGGGUGCUAAACUGUUGAGCUGUCCGGGCUGCCCUCACACCAGUUCUAUAAAAGCUCUUUCAGAAAACUGAAAAGUGGUUUUUAACUAAUUCAUUAAUUCUAUGAGGCCAACAUUACCUUAAUAACGAAGAUCAUAACAAGACAUUACAAGAAAUGAACAGUAUAGACCAAUAUCUCUCAUGAGCAUACAUACAAAAAUUCUGAGCAAAAUUUUAGCAAAUUUAAUCCAACAAUAUGUAAAAGAAAUAAUAUCAUAAUCACGUGGAGCUAAUUUUAAGAAUGUAAGUUUCGCUUAACAUUUAAAAAUCAAUGAAUGUGGGGCACCUGGCAAAUGCCUUUGGCUCAGGCCGUGAUCCCAGGGUCCUGGAAUCAAGUCCCGCAUCAGGUUUCCGCGGGGAGCCUACUUCUUCCUCUGCCUGUGUCUCUGCCUCUCUCUCUGUGUCUUUCAUGAAUAAAUAAAUAAAUAAAUAAAUAAAUAAAUAAAUAAAUAAAUAUCAUAAAAGCAUUGUACAAAAUCUAACAUCUAUGACCAAUAAAAUCUGUCAAAAAACUAAGGAUAAAAUGGAACUUCCUCGAUCUAAUAAAUUGCUUCUAUCUAAAACGUAUAGGUAGCAGCAGCACACUUAAUGGUAAAAAACUAAAUAAUUUCCCCUAAGACCAAAAACAAGUAUGUCAGCUAUCACUAAAUCUAUUCACCUUUAUACUAUAAUUUCUAGCAAUGCAUUAAGGUAAGAAAAAGAAAUGAAUAGUAUCCAGAUUGAAAAGAAAUAAGUAAUAUUCUCUUUACUCACAUGUGGUAUCAUAUUUACAUAGAAAAUCUGAUGGAAUCUACCAAAAUAGGACUAAUAAAUAUGUUUAAUAAGGUGAUAGAUAUAAAAUCAGUAUACAAAAAUCGGUCAUAUUUCUAUUUCUUAGUAAAGAAGAAUUGAAAAAUGAAAUUAAAAAAUAUUGACAAGGACAGAAAUAUGAAAUAAGUAUACUUUUUAAAUGAUUUAUUUAUUUACUUGAGAGAGACAGAGAGAGAGAUAAGGUGCAUGAGCAGGCAUGAAAGACAGAGGGAGGAGCAGACUCCCUGAUGUGAGAUAUGAUCCCAGGACCCUGGGAUCAUGACCUGGGCCGAAGGCAGAUGCGUAACCAACUGAGCCACUCAGGCAUCCCUAAAAUAAGUAUUAACACCAGUAGAAGAUGCAAAAGUAAAAUCUACAUGUAAAUGACAAAACAUUGAUAAGAAAAAAAA
RNAcentral lists this long non-coding RNA (3421 nucleotides) under Canis lupus familiaris (dog). RNAcentral's name for it is "lncRNA (ENSCAFG00000057655.1)". The record is from RNAcentral. Lineage: Eukaryota; Metazoa; Chordata; Mammalia; Carnivora; Canidae.